UUGCGAAUUGGGAGGCCGGCCGUGACCGUGAGCCUGUCUGUGAUCCGCGCGGGAGGGGGGGAGGGAGCGCGGAGCGAGCGGGCGAGGAAUGGACGGGAGGCGCCCGGGCUUUUUAUCGGGGAAGAAAUGGCAAGUCCCCUUCCGCGGACGUGCAGUGCACAAGCGCGGCGGCAAAGGCAACAGCGACCCCACCCGCCCCGCCCGCGUGUUAUUUCCGGCCCCGGGCCUCGGUGGCGCGCCCAGUUUGACGACGCUGCCCCCCGCCCCGCGCUCCUGCCUCCCUGUUUCGGCCGGACACCUGUCGCGGCCUGGGCCGCUCGGCUCGCGGAAACGGCGAAAAGGAACGUGAACAACAUGGCGCGCUGCGGGCCACGCGCGUUCGGAGCGGUGAGAGCUGGAUCCAGAGACUGGAUGCCGAGGGGGUAG
Molecule: unclassified non-coding RNA, 426 nt
Filed under: Zea mays
Lineage: Eukaryota; Viridiplantae; Streptophyta; Magnoliopsida; Poales; Poaceae
Description: misc RNA Zm00001eb101830
Source: RNAcentral